RNAcentral lists this ribosomal RNA (393 nucleotides) under uncultured bacterium. RNAcentral's name for it is "partial 16S ribosomal RNA". It matches the Rfam family "Bacterial small subunit ribosomal RNA", at positions 523 to 918 of the family's 1533-position model. The record is from RNAcentral.
AUACGGAGGAUGCAAGCGUUAUCCGGAUUUAUUGGGUUUAAAGGGUGCGUAGGCUGUUCGGAAAGUCAGGGGUGAAAGCCCGGCGCCUAACGCCGGAACUGCCUUUGAUACUUCCGAGCCGGAAUACGGAUGCCGUGGGAGGAAUGAGUAGUGUAGCGGUGAAAUGCAUAGAUAUUACUCAGAACGCCGAUCGCGAAGGCAUCUCACGAAUCCGUCAUUGACGCUGAGGCACGAAAGCGUGGGGAUCAAACAGGAUUAGAUACCCUGGUAGUCCACGCAGUAAACGAUGAUGACUAACCGUCGGCGAUACACAGUCGGUGGCCAAGCGAAAGCGAUAAGUCAUCCACCUGGGGAGUACGUUCGCAAGAAUGAAACUCAAAUGAAUUGGCGGGG